Molecule: transfer RNA, 103 nt
Filed under: Saccharomyces arboricola H-6
Lineage: Eukaryota; Fungi; Ascomycota; Saccharomycetes; Saccharomycetales; Saccharomycetaceae
Rfam family: tRNA
About the family: Transfer RNA (tRNA) molecules are approximately 80 nucleotides in length. Their secondary structure includes four short double-helical elements and three loops (D, anti-codon, and T loops).
Source: Rfam by way of RNAcentral
GGGCGUGUGGUCUAGUGGUAUGAUUCUCGCUUUGGGCAGCUUCCUGAUUUACCAAGAAGUAAAAGCAUGCGAGAGGCCCUGGGUUCAAUUCCCAGCUCGCCCC